ACGCUCGACACCUACGGGGGGCAGCAGUUAGGAAUAUUCGUCAAUGGAGGAAACUCUGAACGAGCAAUGCCGCGUGAGCGAUGAAGGCCCUAUGGGUCGUAAAGCUCUGUUGUAAAGGAAGAAUACUUGAUAUAGGAAAUGAUAUCAAGCUGACGGUACUUUACCAGAAAGCCCCGGCUAACUACGUGCCUGCAGCCGCGGUAAUCUGAGCGGGCUGGCAAGGC
Molecule: ribosomal RNA, 224 nt
Filed under: uncultured bacterium
Lineage: Bacteria
Description: partial 16S ribosomal RNA
Rfam family: Bacterial small subunit ribosomal RNA
Source: RNAcentral